UCGAAUCGUCUGAGUCUUUUUGAAGAGUAAUAAACUCGUCAAUACUACUCAUAAAGAUACUUCUACUGCACUGAAACUGCWCUUAAUUCACGUGAAAGAGGACAUUACUGUUUUUAGAGGUUACAAUGGCAUCGGAGAAAGAAACGUAAAUCARAGAAAUCAAGCGAUGCUUUAUAUGGCUGUCCUUCAUUUAAGUUGCCCAACUUAUUGCCCAACUUACGCCGAAAGUCCACUGCCUGAGUCAUUAAUAUUUGCAAAGAAGAUGACCAURCAAACCCAUUGAAGGUUUUUGUUCUGAUAAUAACUUUGGGCUACCUGUGGUCGUUGCACCUACUUAUCGUCUUAUAGGAAUCUGACGAGAACAAGUUGACCAKUAGUUUAGCAUGAGUACAUUUGAAAGAAAUCUUGGAAACCAACCACCACCCCCUGAUGGGACCGAGGGAACCACCUCCAUCAAACUUACUCUUAAAGAUGAGAAUGAACCACUKGURCUGRAUGGCUGUUUUAUUCGUAAUGAUGAGAAUUUUAGGAAAUUAAUCAAUGAUUAUAACUACAUCACUAAACAUAAGGACACAAAGUAUUUUACAUAUUUCUGCUGUUUUUAUGAAAACUUGAAAAACCAUUUGGUCAAAACUGAAAUAAACUUUCACCUUCACCGACUUUCUAAACCAGAUCUGGAUAAAAGCUGUACCUUAAUCAAUGAGCCAAAGAAUACUUUCUUUCAACAUGAAGGAUGUCAUGUUUUUUUGCCUGCUUGCCAUGAARACCUACGCAAAAGGGACAUUAGGAAGUUUUUAGACAUUCACUCUAAGUCAGUGCAAUCUGAGACUCACGAAAUCGUAAAUGGAAAAUACAAGGGAUUUGCUAAAGUCAAUGGUUUAAUCAAAUUUGUAGAAAUUGCCAUGAAAUCAUGCACAAACAGACUAGUCCUGAGCGAUAACAUUUUCAACAAGUUGGUCAAUGGCCCACUCAUGUAUUCUGAUAAAGUAGUUGGAUAUUAUUACAAAGAUCCAGAUGGUAGCAAAAUAACCGUUAACAUGCUUGCAACUCGAGGUAUGAUGAUCUUCUCUUUAUUGACAUAAAUUAUCAGACUCAUUAAUAAUUCAUGAGCUAUUUAUCCAAUGGGGAUCGAUUGUUAGGUCACAUUAUUGAGUCUUUAAAACCUCUGAUAAAACAUUGAUUGGAAGAACAUAAUC
This is a long non-coding RNA of Exaiptasia diaphana, 1196 nucleotides long. RefSeq lists it as uncharacterized. The record is from RefSeq and is a predicted model, not a curated record. The transcript has 3 exons. NCBI's taxonomy places the organism in Eukaryota, Metazoa, Cnidaria, Anthozoa, Actiniaria, Aiptasiidae.